RNAcentral lists this ribosomal RNA (550 nucleotides) under uncultured bacterium. RNAcentral's name for it is "bacterial SSU rRNA". It matches the Rfam family "Bacterial small subunit ribosomal RNA", at positions 936 to 1498 of the family's 1533-position model. The record is from RNAcentral.
AGCAUGUGGUUUAAUUCGAUGAUACGCGAGGAACCUUACCUAGGCUAGAAUGUGAGCGAAUAUACCAGAGAUGGUAUAGUCUUCGGACGCGAAACAAGGUGCUGCAUGGUUGUCGUCAGCUCGUGCCGUGAGGUGUCAGGUUAAGUCCUAUAACGAGCGCAACCCCUGUCGUUAGUUACCAGCAAUUAAAGUUGGGUACUCUAGCGAGACUGCCGGUGCAAACCGUGAGGAAGGUGGGGAUGACGUCAAAUCAUCACGGCCCUUACGUCCUGGGCUACACACGUGCUACAAUGGCCGGUACAGAGAGCAGCCACUACGCGAGUAGGAGCGAAUCUUCAAAGCCGGUCUCAGUUCGGAUCGCAGUCUGCAACUCGACUGCGUGAAGCUGGAAUCGCUAGUAAUCGGAUAUCAGCCAUGAUCCGGUGAAUACGUUCCCGGGCCUUGUACACACCGCCCGUCAAGCCAUGGAAGCUGGGGGUACCUGAAGUCGGUGACCGUAAGGAGCUGCCUAGGGUAAAACUAGUAACUGGGGCUAAGUCGUAACAAGGUA